UCCUACGGGAGGCAGCAGUGGGGAAUAUUGGACAAUGGGGGCAACCCUGAUCCAGCCAUGCCGCGUGUGUGAAGAAGGCCCUCGGGUUGUAAAGCACUUUCAGCGAGGAAGAACGCCUAGCGGUUAAUACCCGCUAGGAAAGACAUCACUCGCAGAAGAAGCACCGGCUAACUCCGUGCCAGCAGCCGCGGUAAUGCGGAGGGUGCAAGCGUUAAUCGGAAUUACUGGGCGUAAAGCGCGCGUAGGUGGCUUGAUAAGCCGGUUGUGAAAGCCCCGGGCUCAACCUGGGAACGGCAUCCGGAACUGUCAAGCUAGAGUGCAGGAGAGGAAGGUAGAAUUCCCGGUGUAGCGGUGAAAUGCGUAGAGAUCGGGAGGAAUACCAGUGGCGAAGGCGGCCUUCUGGACUGACACUGACACUGAGGUGCGAAAGCGUGGGUAGCAAACAGGAUUAGAUACCCUGGUAGUCCACGCCGUAAACGAUGUCGACCAGCCGUUGGGUGCCUAGCGCACUUUGUGGCGAAGUUAACGCGAUAAGUCGACCGCCUGGGGAGUACGGCCGCAAGGUUAAAACUCAAAUGAAUUGACGG
This 587-nucleotide ribosomal RNA is filed under the name uncultured bacterium. RNAcentral describes it as "bacterial SSU rRNA". It matches the Rfam family "Bacterial small subunit ribosomal RNA", at positions 337 to 916 of the family's 1533-position model. The record is from RNAcentral.